RNAcentral lists this ribosomal RNA (497 nucleotides) under uncultured bacterium. RNAcentral's name for it is "partial 16S ribosomal RNA". It matches the Rfam family "Bacterial small subunit ribosomal RNA", at positions 28 to 507 of the family's 1533-position model. The record is from RNAcentral.
GAUGAACGCUGGCGGCGUGCCUAAUACAUGCAAGUCGAACGGACAGACGAUGAGCUUGCGCCUCUGACGUUAGCGGCUGACGGGUGAGUAACACGUGGAUAACCUACCUAUAAUACUGGGAUAACUUCGGGAAACCGGAUCUAAUACCGGAGCAUAUAUUGAACCGCAGGGAGCAAUAGUGAAAGACGGUUUUGCCGUCUCUUAUAGAUGGAUCCGCGCCGCAUUAGCUAGUUGGUAAGGUAACGGCUUACCAAGGCAACGAUGCGUAGCCGACCUGAGAGGGUGAUCGGCCACACUGGAACUGAGACACGGUCCAGACUCCUACGGGAGGCAGCAGUCGGGAAUAUUCGGCAAUGGGCGAAAGCCUGACGCAGCAAGGCCGCGUGAGUGAUGAAGGCCUUCGGAUCGUAAAACCCUGUUAUUGGGGAAGAACAACUGUGUAAGUAAACAUGGCCGUAUUGACGGUACCUAAUCAAAAAGCACCGGCUAACUACGUG